This 296-nucleotide ribosomal RNA is filed under the name uncultured bacterium. RNAcentral's name for it is "partial 16S ribosomal RNA". It matches the Rfam family "Bacterial small subunit ribosomal RNA", at positions 1094 to 1390 of the family's 1533-position model. The record is from RNAcentral.
GAGCGCAACCCCUAUCUUUAGUUGCCAUCAGGUUGGGCUGGGCACUCUAGAGAGACUGCCGGUGACAAGCCGGAGGAAGGUGGGGAUGACGUCAAGUCCUCAUGGCCCUUAUGUCCUGGGCUACACACGUGCUACAAUGGCGGUGACAGUGGGAAGCUAGGUGGUGACACCAUGCUGAUCUCUAAAAGCCGUCUCAGUUCGGAUUGCACUCUGCAACUCGAGUGCAUGAAGGUGGAAUCGCUAGUAAUCGCGGAUCAGCAUGCCGCGGUGAAUACGUUCCCGGGUCUUGUACACAC